CUCUGUUCCAGAAUGGUUCAGGGCGGGAGGAG
This 32-nucleotide non-coding RNA is filed under the name Ureibacillus thermosphaericus str. Thermo-BF. Its description in RNAcentral is "L31-Firmicutes ribosomal protein leader". It matches the Rfam family "L31-Firmicutes ribosomal protein leader". Lineage: Bacteria; Bacillati; Bacillota; Bacilli; Caryophanales; Caryophanaceae. The record is from RNAcentral.